ACGCUCGACACCUACGGGGAGGUAGCAGUAGGGAAUCUUCCACAAUGGACGCAAGUCUGAUGGAGCAACGCCGCGUGAGUGAAGAAGGUUUUCGGAUCGUAAAGCUCUGUUGUUGGUGAAAGAAGGAUAGAGGUAGUAACUGGCCUUUAUUUGACGGUAAUCAACCAGAAAGUCACGGCUAACUACGUGCCGGCAGCCGCGGUAAUCUGAGCGGGCUGGCAAGGC
RNAcentral lists this ribosomal RNA (225 nucleotides) under uncultured bacterium. RNAcentral describes it as "partial 16S ribosomal RNA". It matches the Rfam family "Bacterial small subunit ribosomal RNA", at positions 328 to 539 of the family's 1533-position model. The record is from RNAcentral.